UACGGAAGGCAGCAGUGGGGAAUAUUGCACAAUGGGCGAAAGCCUGAUGCAGCUAUGCCGCGUGUAUGAAGAAGGCCUUAGGGUUGUAAAGUACUUUCAUCGGGGAGGAAAAACAAAACUAAUAAUUUUAUUUCUUGACGUUACCCGAAAAAGAAGCACCGGCUAACUCCGUGCCAGCAGCCGCGGUAAUACGGAGGGUGCUAGCGUUAAUCAGAAUUACUGGGCGUAAAGAGCACGUAGGUGGUUUUUUUAAGUUCAGAUGUGAAUCCCUGGGCUUAACCUAGGAACUGCAUUUUGAAACUGAAAUACUAGAGUAUCGUAGAGGGAGGUAGAAUUCUAGGUGUAGCGGUGAAAUGCGUAGAUAUCUGGAGGAAUACCUGUGGCGAAAGCGGCCUCCUAAACGAAUACUGACACUGAGGUGCGAAAGCGUGGGGAGCAAACAGGGAUUAGAUACC
RNAcentral lists this ribosomal RNA (455 nucleotides) under uncultured bacterium. RNAcentral's name for it is "bacterial SSU rRNA". It matches the Rfam family "Bacterial small subunit ribosomal RNA", at positions 340 to 786 of the family's 1533-position model. The record is from RNAcentral.